CAGUAGCCGCGGGAAAACGGAGGGUGCAAGCGUUAUCCGGAUUUAUUGGGUUUAAAGGGUCCGUAGGCGGACUUAUAAGUCAGUGGUGAAAGCCUGUCGCUUAACGAUAGAACUGCCAUUGAUACUGUAAGUCUUGAGUAUAUUUGAGGUAGCUGGAAUAAGUAGUGUAGCGGUGAAAUGCAUAGAUAUUACUUAGAACACCAAUUGCGAAGGCAGGUUACCAAGAUAUAACUGACGCUGAGGGACGAAAGCGUGGGUAGCGAACAGGAUUAGAUACCCCUGUAGUCCCUGUCUCUUAUAC
RNAcentral lists this ribosomal RNA (301 nucleotides) under uncultured bacterium. RNAcentral's name for it is "partial 16S ribosomal RNA". It matches the Rfam family "Bacterial small subunit ribosomal RNA", at positions 509 to 807 of the family's 1533-position model. The record is from RNAcentral.